GGAGAGAUGGCAGAGUGGUUUAAUGCACCGGUUUACUAAACCGGCGACCAAUUAUAGGUUCGGGGGUUCGAAUCCCUCUCUCUCCG
This 86-nucleotide transfer RNA is filed under the name bacterium. RNAcentral's name for it is "tRNA-Ser". It matches the Rfam family "tRNA". From Rfam's summary of the family: Transfer RNA (tRNA) molecules are approximately 80 nucleotides in length. Their secondary structure includes four short double-helical elements and three loops (D, anti-codon, and T loops). The record is from RNAcentral.